CACGUAGGGGCGAGCGUUGUCCGGAAUCACUGGGCGUAAAGGGCGUGUAGGCGGCUGAUUAAGUCAGUUGUAAAAGGCUGCGGCUUAACCGCAGAAGUGCAAUUGAAACUGGUCAGCUUGAGGGCAAGAGAGGAAAGCGGAAUUCCUAGUGUAGCGGUGAAAUGCGUAGAUAUUCGGAGGAACACCAGUGGCGAAGGCGGCUUACUGGACUCUAACUGACGCUGAGGCUCGAAAGCGUGGGGAGCAAACAGGAUUAGAUACCCGCGUA
Molecule: ribosomal RNA, 268 nt
Filed under: uncultured prokaryote
Description: partial 16S ribosomal RNA
Rfam family: Bacterial small subunit ribosomal RNA
Source: RNAcentral